UAAUACGUAGGGUGCUAGAGUUGUCCGGAUUUACUGGGUGUAAAGGGUGCUCAGGCGGGUUUGUAAGUCAGAGGUGAAAUCCCAAAGCUUAACUUUGGUGCUGCCUUUGAUACUGCAAGUCUGGAGUUUGAGAGAGGGUAAUGGAAUAUCUGGUGUAGCAGUGAAAUGCGUAGAUAUCAGAUAGAACACCAAUGGCGAAGGCAGUUACCUGGCUCAAUACUGACGCUAAAGCACGAAAGUGUGGGGAGCAAACAGGAUUAGAUACCCUGGUAGUCCACACCCUAAACGAUGAAUACUAGAUGUUGGUUUUUUAUAAAAUCAGUAUCCAAGCUAACGCAUUAAGUAUUCCACCUGGGAAGUACAAUCGCAAGGUUG
This 375-nucleotide ribosomal RNA is filed under the name uncultured bacterium. RNAcentral describes it as "bacterial SSU rRNA". It matches the Rfam family "Bacterial small subunit ribosomal RNA", at positions 521 to 896 of the family's 1533-position model. The record is from RNAcentral.